AAGGGUGGAGAGCUUGAGAGAAGGUAGUUAAUCUUACCACAAUAAGGCUUAUUGUCAUGCACUUAUAAUGGCUGUCACUUGCAAGGUUCAUAAAAGCUGAGGCUUCUGAUUAAAUAUGGUUGGUAAGUUUUUUAUUUAUUGGGAAAUUUUAGCUGAUUGAGAAAAACAUGAACUUUGAGGUCACUAUCAGAUUGCUACCUGAAUCUUAUUCUUACAUCCUGAACAAAAUAUCAAUUGUCUGAUUUUGAAUUAGAUAUGGUUAUAUUGUGCAAUCUUCUUAUUAUUUCCAGCUAUCCUCUUGAAAGAGCCAGUAUCUCCUUGAAAGUAACAAAAUUUGAUCUUAGUUACUUUAUGUGGUCAUAACUUUAGUACAAUAUAAACUUUUGAUGAAAAUGCUUGGUAGGA
RNAcentral lists this unclassified non-coding RNA (405 nucleotides) under Hevea brasiliensis (rubber tree). Lineage: Eukaryota; Viridiplantae; Streptophyta; Magnoliopsida; Malpighiales; Euphorbiaceae. The record is from RNAcentral.